AGAUUAAGUUAUUAAGGGCGCACGGUGGAUGCCUUGGCACUAGAAGCCGAUGAAGGACGUUACUAACGACGAUAUGCUUUGGGUAGCUGUAAGUAAGCGUUGAUCCAGAGAUUUCCGAAUGGGGGAACCCAGCAUGAGUUAUGUCAUGUUAUCGACAUGUGAAUUCAUAGCAUGUCAGAAGGCAGACCCGGAGAACUGAAACAUCUUAGUACCCGGAGGAAGAGAAAGAAAAAUCGAUUCCCUGAGUAGCGGCGAGCGAAACGGGAAUAGCCCAAACCAACAAGCUUGCUUGUUGGGGUUGUAGGACACUCUAUACGGAGUUACAAAAGAACAUGUUAGACGAAUCAUCUGGAAAGAUGAAUCAAAGAAGGUAAUAAUCCUGUAGUCGAAAACAUAUUCUCUCUUGAGUGGAUCCUGAGUACGACGGAGCACGUGAAAUUCCGUCGGAAUCUGGGAGGACCAUCUCCUAAGGCUAAAUACUCUCUAGUGACCGAUAGUGAACCAGUACCGUGAGGGAAAGGUGAAAAGUACCCCGGAAGGGGAGUGAAAGAGAACUUGAAACCGUGUGCUUACAAGUAGUCAGAGCCCGUUAAUGGGUGAUGGCGUGCCUUUUGUAGAAUGAACCGGCGAGUUACGAUCUGAUGCAAGGUUAAGCAGCAAAUGUGGAGCCGCAGCGAAAGCGAGUCUGAAUAGGGCGUUGAGUAUUUGGUCGUAGACCCGAAACCAGGUGAUCUACCCUUGGUCAGGUUGAAGUUCAGGUAACACUGAAUGGAGGACCGAACCGACUUACGUUGAAAAGUGAGCGGAUGAACUGAGGGUAGCGGAGAAAUUCCAAUCGAACUUGGAGAUAGCUGGUUCUCUCCGAAAUAGCUUUAGGGCUAGCCUCAAGUGAUGAUUAUUGGAGGUAGAGCACUGUUUGGACGAGGGGCCCCUCUCGGGUUACCGAAUUCAGACAAACUCCGAAUGCCAAUUAAUUUAACUUGGGAGUCAGAACAUGGGUGAUAAGGUCCGUGUUCGAAAGGGAAACAGCC
RNAcentral lists this ribosomal RNA (1031 nucleotides) under Staphylococcus epidermidis. Its description in RNAcentral is "bacterial LSU rRNA". It matches the Rfam family "Bacterial large subunit ribosomal RNA", at positions 1 to 1027 of the family's 2925-position model. Lineage: Bacteria; Bacillati; Bacillota; Bacilli; Caryophanales; Staphylococcaceae. The record is from RNAcentral.